UUUUCAAAAAUUUUCAAUCAUAGUUUACAUUCCAUAUUAUUUUGUAUUAGUUUUAGUUGUACAGCAUAGUGGCUAACCAAUCAUAUACUUUACGAAAUAUUCUCUCUGAUAUAUCCA
Myotis davidii is the source of this 117-nucleotide long non-coding RNA. RefSeq lists it as uncharacterized. The transcript has 3 exons. The record is from RefSeq and is a predicted model, not a curated record. Lineage: Eukaryota; Metazoa; Chordata; Mammalia; Chiroptera; Vespertilionidae.